This 509-nucleotide ribosomal RNA is filed under the name uncultured bacterium. RNAcentral describes it as "bacterial SSU rRNA". It matches the Rfam family "Bacterial small subunit ribosomal RNA", at positions 36 to 518 of the family's 1533-position model. The record is from RNAcentral.
CUGGCGGCGUGCCUAAUACAUGCAAGUCGAACGGUCUUUCUAUGGAAGCUUGCUUCCACUGAGAAGAUAGUGGCGAACGGGUGAGUAACACGUGGGUAACCUGCCCAUAAGAGGGGGAUAACAUCCGGAAACGGGUGCUAAUACCGCAUAGUUUUCUUGAUCGCAUGAUCGGGAAAGGAAAGACGGCCUUUGUGCUGUCGCUUAUGGAUGGACCCGCGGCGUAUUAGUUAGUUGGUGAGGUAACGGCUCACCAAGACGAUGAUACGUAGCCGACCUGAGAGGGUGAUCGGCCACAUUGGGACUGAGACACGGCCCAAACUCCUACGGGAGGCAGCAGUAGGGAAUCUUCCGCAAUGGACGAAAGUCUGACGGAGCAACGCCGCGUGAGUGAAGAAAGGUUUUCGGAUCGUAAAACUCUGUUGUCAGAGAAGAACAAGUUGGAGAGUAACUGCUCUAGCCUUGACGGUAUCUGACCAGAAAGCCACGGCUAACUACGUGCCAGCCGCUGC